This 169-nucleotide small nuclear RNA is filed under the name Neotoma lepida (desert woodrat). RNAcentral describes it as "U1 spliceosomal RNA". It matches the Rfam family "U1 spliceosomal RNA". From Rfam's summary of the family: U1 is a small nuclear RNA (snRNA) component of the spliceosome (involved in pre-mRNA splicing). Its 5' end forms complementary base pairs with the 5' splice junction, thus defining the 5' donor site of an intron. Lineage: Eukaryota; Metazoa; Chordata; Mammalia; Rodentia; Cricetidae. The record is from Rfam by way of RNAcentral.
AAACUUACCUGGCAGAGGAGAUACCAUGGAUCAUAAAGAUGUUUUUCCCAUGGAUAAUGCUUAUAGGGUGCACUCUAUUUGUGCUGUUCUGACCACCGUGAUUUCCCCAAAUGUGAGAAACUUGAUUGCAUAAUUUGUAAUAGUAGGGACUGUGUUAGCACUCUCCUCU